This 897-nucleotide long non-coding RNA is filed under the name Rattus norvegicus (Norway rat). RNAcentral's name for it is "long non-coding RNA NONRATT015965". The record is from RNAcentral. Lineage: Eukaryota; Metazoa; Chordata; Mammalia; Rodentia; Muridae.
AUGUUAUCCACUCCUUUAUUAAAAAAAAUUAACCCUGUAAUCCAGCAUUUCCUUCCUCUGGGCACAUACCCGUGGGAAGAAACCCACUACUUUGUAAAUGAAUGUCUGUGAACAUUCAGAAUAGCCAAGGCCUGGAAGCCACGGAAGACCACAAUGGCAGACUAAUGGAUGAAGAAGAUGCGGUACGUGUUAUCAGUAGAACAGCAUCCCACUCUAACAAAGCCGUUGCUAGUGGCUACACAGAGGAGCCUAGAACGUAUUAUUGUGCCUUAGUGAAAUAAGCCAGCUACAGAAAGAAAAAACAUUUCAGGAUCUCAUUACUUGUAGAACUUGAAAUUUUUCGACUGUAUAGAAGUGGAGAUAACAGCGUGGGCUAUUUCUAGGAGAGGUGAGGCAGUGCUGGUUAAAGGAUAAAGAGCAGAGGUGUAGGUUGAGGGAGUCCAGAGGUGGAAUGUGCACCAACCGUGAAGACAAUGGGUCAUCAAAAUGCGGAUGAGACUUAAGCUAAUAAGAGUAUAGCUGCCCUCCAUGCAUCUGUGUGCUCACAUGCACACACACUCACACAGCUUAAAAAUGGCUAUCGAUGAGACGAUGGGCAUGCUUAUUUACCUCAGGAUAGAAAUAUUUCCUGCUAUUGUAUCUCACAGUAUCAUGGUAUCUACCUUAAAAACAUUCCCCAUCAAAACCAAUAUUCUUUUCACGUAAAUAUUGUUAUUUUAGGAUCCUGGAGUGAAAAUAUACUAACGUAUUUUCUGAGGAACAGGCAGAUCACGGCAGAAGACGGUGCUGAGAUACUCUGGUACCACGCAGCGAACCACAAGUGUCAGAUGAGCGACGCCCUGAAGAGUGCCGCCCACAUGAUCGAGGCUGAUGUCCUUCUUCCUAGCGACGGCUCAG